GACGAACGCUGGCGGCGUGCUUAACACAUGCAAGUCGAACGGAAAGGCCCUGCUUUUGUGGGGUGCUCGAGUGGCGAACGGGUGAGUAACACGUGAGUAACCUGCCCUUGACUUUGGGAUAACUUCAGGAAACUGGGGCUAAUACCGGAUAGGAGCUCCUGCUGCAUGGUGGGGGUUGGAAAGUUUCGGCGGUUGGGGAUGGACUCGCGGCUUAUCAGCUUGUUGGUGGGGUAGUGGCUUACCAAGGCUUUGACGGGUAGCCGGCCUGAGAGGGUGACCGGCCACCUUGGGGCUGCGGUACGGCCCAGACUCCUACGGGGGGCAGCAGUGGGGAAUAUUGCCCAAUGGGCGGAAGCCUGAUGCAGCAGCGCCGCGUGCGGGAUGACGGCCUUCGGGUUGUAAACCGCUUUCGCCUGUGACGAAGCGUGAGUGACGGUAAUGGGUAAAGAAGCACCGGCUAACUACGUG
Molecule: ribosomal RNA, 468 nt
Filed under: uncultured bacterium
Lineage: Bacteria
Description: partial 16S ribosomal RNA
Rfam family: Bacterial small subunit ribosomal RNA
Source: RNAcentral